CUGGUUAGAGGUUCGCCGGUGACGUGAGCGCCCGAGUUGGGGGAGAGGACCAGAACCACCUGCUGGAGAAAGGGAGCUACGGGGGCCGGGCAGGGUCCAAACGCCUCACGUGGGCGGCGGCGCCACGGUCUUCGGGGUCACAGGGAAGAGAAGGGCUCUCCUCAAGCGGGUGGAAGGAGGGAGGCCUCCCGAGGGAAUGAGACUCCAGGCCACUCCCCCGCAGCAAGGCAGGAUCACCUGCGUCGCGGAGAGCAGUUAGAGGUCCCUGGAGUGGAAAAGGGCAGUGGGACCUGGUAGCUUGGGUUCCCUGCAACUUGGGGUUCGACCUCCAGGCAAUGAAGUAGGGAUGGUCCUGCAAGUCAAGAUUCCAGUAGCAAGAGUGCAUCAGAUCUCUGUAAGGAAAAUAACUAACAUUGCUCAGUUCCCUGUAGAGUUGCAGGGCGCUUUGACGUUAUCUCCCUUGGUUCUCCAUCAGGUCGUAGUGGACUAAUUUUACAGGCGAAGUUAAGUGACUUACCCAAAACCUCACAGCUAAUAAACGGCAGAGCCGGCACCCAGCUGUACUGGCUUCCAGCGCAUCCCAUUAUCUCCAUAAAUCCCCCUGAUUCAACUAAUAUUAGACGCCCCACAGGUAAGAUGCUUCAGAGUUAGAGGGGAGUUGAAGAUACCUUUGCCUUCAAAGAAGUAAGGAAUGAAACAAAGAUAAAACAGACAAUAAAAGACAAACCAUGAUAGGUGCCACGUGAAAAGUGGCAGAGUACUGCCGGGAAUCAAAGAACCGUGUAUAUCUGUCUUGGGGAUAAGGAAAGAAACGCAGCAUGAAGGAGUAGGCAUUUGGGAUUGACCUUGAAGGAGACAGGGAGAGUUUUACAGCAAGAAGGGAUAGCAUGAGAAUAUAUAUGAAGGCGAAUCAGUGAAAGUUGUGUUGGGGAAAGAGCAAAGACUCCAGGUAUGUUGAGAGGUAGAAAAGACAAAGGAGUAUGGGGCCUAAGAUACCAAAUGGAUGAAUUUAUAUUUAAUUCAGUAUUUUGAGUUUUUAUGGUUCAGAAGUUUGGGGGAAGAAAAGGAAGGUUUUUUUUUUCUUUAUGCUAGUGAUUUAUCUGUGAAGGGAAGCAGAAAUCAGAGGUGGAAAAACUGACAGAUCUACUGUAGGCCAGGUAAAAGGUAAUGAUGAGUCUGACCUAAAGGGACAGCCAGGGGAAUUUAAAGAGCAUAGUUGAGAGAUGAUGUGCAUGCAGAAUCUAUAGAAUUUGCUAACUGAUUGAUUAAUUGUGGGUAGGAAGAGAGAAAUCAAAGAAAGUGGAGGUUUUGAGUUUCUAGAUAAUUGCAAGAGAGAAAAGAGACAAUUACAAAGGAAAGGAGAAGGAGCUACUUCUUGAGAGAAGAUCAGUUUAGAUUUAGACAUUUUAAGAAUUCAAAGGGUUGUCAAGACAGCCAGACGGACAUGGACACUAAUAAGUUAGAAAUAAAGGUUUUGUAAUAUGGGAAAGAGGACUGAGCUAGAAAAUAGACUCAUAGAUAAUCAGCCUAGGAGUGAUAUUGCUGUGAGAUAAAAGAAGAAAACAAAGUCAGAAUCUUGGAAAACACCCUCUUCAGAGUCUCGCUGCUCAAAACGUGGUCAGUGGCCCAGCAGCACUGACAUGAGGACCUUAGUUGGAAACUCAGAAUCUCAGGCUCCACCCCAGACCUGCUGAACCAGCAUCUUCAACUUAACAAGAACCCGAAGAGAUUUGUGCCACAUCAAAAAGUUUGAGAAGCUCUGAUCUAGCUGGACCCUGGACACGGUGACUCUGAUUCAAUUAUGCAGAUGACCACAAGCCUCUGGGGUUGGCAGAGCCACAAGAAAGAAGGUGCCUGGAUGAAGGAGAGCUACCCACUGACCUGGACACCCAAUUAUAGGAUAGACAGUGAAGUGCAACUACAGCCCGCAAAUGAAAAUGAAUAAAAUUAAUCCAGCCCCUCAAGGCAGUCAUCUGUCUUAGAGCUAUUGGAAUCCUGGAUCAUUGUGGGAAAUGAAAAAUACUUCGAUGGAAUCAGCAGCCAUUGAUCCAAUGCCAACUCCAAGACUGGAACGUCGCAAUGAUAGUUCCAAGGCGGAAAUUUGACGUAAUUCUUUUCGACACAGUUUUACAGGCAUCUUGCAUGUGAAUAACUCACAACUUUAAUUCAUGGAACAAAUUGAGAAAUAGUCUUUUGGGGGUUUGGUACUCCCUGGAAACAUAAGAGUGCUUUGGGCACCUCUGGUGCCUUUCCAUGCCUGCCUUCUCUGCUGUUCUUGCUACUAGUGAAUUCUAAAUCAUGGCCAAGUGAUGCCAGCACUGGAUAAUAUUGGCUCUGCCCCAUAUCUCGAGGGAAAACUCUGGGACUUGGCAUUAUAUGUGUGGGAAUCUGGCCUUGGUUGGCACUCCCAGCAUGAUAGCAGGGUUCUGCUGUCUGAAUGUACUCUGGGGUGUGCGCCACAAUUUCUGUCAUCGAAAUGGAGAUGAGAGAAUAUGCCCUUGGUGGGGACACCCCACUGGAAUUAGAGUGAAGAGAUCAAAGCUAGAGGUUCUUAAAUCAAAGAAUGUCUAAUAGCAAAGACAAAAACUUGCUUAAGAGAAAUGCAUACAGGUACUAGACCUAAUAUGAUGAAAAAUGCUAACUUCAACAUAUUGAUGCAUGCUUAGUAUACUUUUAGUCCUGCAAAGACAAAAGUUUUUUGUUUGUUUUUUUUUGAGACGGAGUCUCGCUCUGUCGCCCAGGUUGGAGUGCAGUGGUGUGAUCUCGGCUUACUGCAAGCUCUGCCUCCUGGGUUCACACCAUUCUCCUGCCUCAGCCUCCGGAGUAGCUGGGACUACAGGCGCCCGCCACCACGCCCGGCUAAUUUUUUGUAUUUUUAGUAGAGAUGGGGUUUCACCGUGUUAGCCAGGAUGGUCUCGAUCUCCUGACCUCAGGUGAUCCGCCUGCCUUGGCCUCCCAAAGUGCUGGGAUUACAGGCAUGAGCCACCGCACCUGGCCCAGUCCUGCCAAGACAAAGUUUUAAAACACAGGUUGCACAUUGGCAGCUCUCAAGCCAAAUCUGGCCCAUAGACAUGGUUUGCUUGGCCUAUAAUGUUAGUAAUACUUGACCCAAGAUUUAAAAUUUGAAAAGUUUCAUAUAAAAAUAUAGAUUUACAGCUUUUCUAGAAAAACUAUAAGAGUUAACAGUUUCUGAAUUGCAACAGCAGCUGGAACACCGUUGCCACUGACCAUUUAGAUGACUGCUGCAGUCCCCACGGCUCACUCUGGUUCAGGUAGGGGUUCUAGUUUGUAACCCCUGGUUUAAAACAUAACUGACUCUCUAGUUUUUAAAAUUCUCUCAAAAUCAAAUAACCUGAACUAGCAAAUGAUCUAGAUCCUCGUACAUGGAACUCAUACUAAGUUGACCACAGACAGUGGCUCCCAAACUCUGCAGUACAUCAGAGUCACUGGGAAGCUUUAAAAAAUCCUGCUCCCUAGCUGGGUGCAGUGGUUUAUGCCUGUAGCCCCAGCUACUUGAGAGGCUGAGGUGGGAGGAUUGCUCAAGCCCAGGAGUUUGAGGCUGCAGUGAGCCAUGAAUGUACCACUACACUCCAGCCUGGGCAACAGAGCAAGACCCCAACUCUAAAAAAAAAUCCUGCUCCCCAGGUGACAGUAUCUGGGGGAAGGAGUAAGGCAUCUUAUUUUCAAAAGAUCAUAAGAAAAGAGGCUCAUUGCUGAGGCUCACUCCGGAGCCCACUUGGAUUCUUCACAAGAAAGUUUCCCUCUUCCAGAAUUUUAUAAUUGAGGGAACCGACUAGGGAAAGAUUAAUUUGCCCAAGGUCAAACAACUAGUAAAAGAAGUAAGGAUUCCAACCCAGAUCUUUUGACUCUAUUAUCCUUACAUAUAGUUUUAUAGUGAUUUAAAUUGAUACAAGGAUAGGUUUAAAUACAAGUAGAAUGCAGGUUCAUAUAAAACUGAUUUUAUCCUCAUGUUAGAAAACAUAUACACUGUAACAGAGGGAUGACCAUCAAGUGACCAAGAUAUUUUAGUCAAAAGAUGAAUUUUUCUGCAAUUGGAGAAUGCCAAAAAUAUUCAAAGAAAAUAUAAGUCUUGUAGGCAGUCUUCUAUCAAAACCCACUGAACCGCUGGGCACGGUGGCUCAUGCCUGUAAUUCCAGCACUUUGGGAGGCCAAGGCUGGUGGAUCACCUGAGGUCAGGAGUUUGAGACCAGCCUGGCCGACAUGGUCUCUACUAAAAAUACAAAAAAUUAGCUGGGCCUGGUGGCGGCACCUGUAAUCCCAGCUACUGAGGAGGCUGAGGCAGGAGAAUUGUUUGAACCUUGGAGGUAGAGGCUGCAGUGAGCUGAGAUAGCACCACUGCACUCCAGCCUGGGUAACAAGAGUGAAACUCCAUUCAAAAACAAAAAACAAACAAAAAAAAAACAAUGCACCAAAUACUAAGUUAUUAACUAGGAUACUGAUUAUUAAGCAUGUAAAACAUUUUAUGGAACUCAGAGUUUGAUGUAAAUUGCUAUAUUUUAUAAUUCAAACAAACCUUGUUUCAUGUCAUUAUAUUAGAGUAGCAUUAUGAGACAGGAUAUAGUGUAAGCUAUAUCCCCAAUAUAAUUGCAACUGUAUAUUUUAAAGCAUGGGGAAAAUAUGAAAAGAAUUAUGCUCAAAUGUGGGUAGGAUUAUAACUGAUUUGUUUUCUUCAUUUUCAGAUUUUUCUAUAAUGACUAUACAUUAUUUUUAUAGUCAAAAAUAGAAGUAUUUUAAAUGUUUCUAGGUAGAAUAGCAAAUUAGCUGAAAUAGUAUCUCCAACGUUAUUAUCAAGACUAGACUCCUUGGGUAAAUUGGUCAGAACAGUGUUGUUCUCAUUUUACACCUCUCCAAGAUUAACUAUGUUUUAGAUUUGUGUGUGUGUUUGGUUAAAGAGCCAGGAUGAAGAUCCAGAGUUCUUAAACCUGUAUACCACCAUACUACAUUGUCAUUUUAAAGAAAUGUCUAGUAGACUCGGUGGCAUAAACAUGGGCCAUUUACAAACUAGAUGUCUAAUAUCAGAUACCUCAAAUUUGACAGUAGACUUUUUUUCAAAGCUAAAGUGGUCUUAUGUUGACUAUUUUGUUUCUUACUUGAUACUUGUUUACUUUUUAAUUUUUGGCAAGUAAUGUUUCAAGUUAAAGUUUUAGCUAUAUAUAGCAGGCAGUAUUUCAAGUAAAUGAGUUACAUCAGUAAACACCUCUGUAUUACUAAACUGAGAAUCAGAAAAUGUAAUCUCUUUGGCAGGAUUCGUAUGUUUGUAUCACGUCUUUAUCCUCAGGCAACUUUUAUCUUGGAAUACUGAACCAGCAGUCAGAAUAUGAGGGACAUUAGACUGUGUUAUAGUUACUGUUCUGUCCUUAAGUCACUUGCCUUCUCUAAGUGUCAGUUGCCUCAUCUGAAAAUGGAGUUAGCAGACCCCAGCCUAUCCUGAGUUUGAGGGCUAAAGGGAAUUAUUCUUGAAAAUGUCUAUACAUGAUAAAUGUCACAAAUAUAACUUAGCAUUUUUUUUUUGAGACAGAGUUUCGCUCUUGUGGCCCAGGUCGGGGUGCAAUGUCGUGAUCUCAGCUCACUGCAACCUCUGCCUCCCGGGUUCAAGCGAUUCUCCUGCCUCAGCCUCCUGAGUAGCUGGGAUUACAGGCAUGCACCACCACACCUGGCUAAUUUUGUAUUUUUUAAUAGAGACGGGGUUUCACCAUGUUGGUCAGGUUGGUCUCGAACUCCUACCCUCCGGUGAUCCACCCGCCUUGGCCUCCCAAAGUGCUGGGAUUACAGGCAUGAGCCACCGCACCUAGCCAAUUCUACUUCUAUUACAUUUUCAGCAUAUAUCACUUCAUUGCUCCUCCAUAUUAUUUUUCACUGGUCUUCUUACAUCUUGUGUGCCCAUAUUUAAGUAGUUUUCUUUCCAGGUAAAAAAUACAUGUGUGCCUAAAAGAUUUUAAAGUCAACUUUUCAUAAACCAUACCUAAAUUAUCAAAGUUAUUAGAAUUAUUAGAAAGUAUUAGCUAAUUCUUUUAUAAAAUGUAGACUUUAUUAUUUUAGAAAUAUUGAUUCCUCUCUAUUCAGCUAUCUUAAAGAGGGUAUAUUUUAAUCAUCGCAAUAUAUUACCUUCAUAGUAUUUUUUACUUUUGCAAAGUAUAUUUUGUCAUGUUAUUUCAUUUAGGAAUGCACUAAAUCUACAUAUCUACAUAUGAUUAUACAAGGAAACAUCUUUGUCUCAAAAAUGGGUUCUAUUACAUUUUUUAAUUUCCAGGGGUCAUGAUAUAUAAAAAGACCUGAUUUAUCUUAAAAAUACAUACUUUUAUUCUUACCUACCAUACAUCUUUUUUUGUGAUAAUCAGAAGGCUUAAUUUACUAUAAAAUAGGAAAACAACAGCUAUGUUAGAUUAUAUAGUUAAUUUAGGGAUUAAAUGAGUUAAGGUCUACAAGCCCCUGGCACAUGGCAGACAAUCAAUAAUUGAUCAUUUCCUUUGCAUCUAUAAAUUUGUUCAUUCACUUCUCAUGUGGUUCUACCUUAGACAACGAUUUUUGUUUACAGAGACAAAUAGAAGUAUCUAAUCCUAAAUAACCCAAUCAAUUGGUAAAGGCUACACUACAAAGCUGGCAUGACUUCACCAAAUGCUAGAGAAACAGUGUUAAGAGUGACAACACUAAAAGUCUUACACUCUGAUGAUGCUAGUUGCCGCCGAAUUGCUUCCCCUACCAGUUCCUUAAGUUUCUUCUUAUGAUCCCGGCUGGUUUUCUUAUAGAAAUAAAGAUCUUUUUCCAACUGCUGGAUUUUAUCUUCAUAUGUUUUGAAAGUUUCCAUAAUGCCUUCUCCAUCUUGUUCUAUACAACAAAAAUUUGCAUUUAAAAUCAGUUUUAAAUAAAUGAUGCAAAAUUAUGUUUUUGUUUGUUUCUUUGUCUUUUUGAAACGGAGUCUUGCACUGUCGCCCAGGCUAGAGUGCAGUGGCGUGAUAUGCUCGGCUCACUGUAAGCUCCGCCACCCAGGUUCACACCAUUCUCCUGCCUCCGCCUCCCAAGUAGCUGGGACUACAGGUGCCCAGCACCACGCCCGGCUAAUUUUUUUGUAUUUUUAGUAGAGACGAGGUUUCAUCAUGUUAGCCAGGAUGGUCUCGAUCUCCUGACCUCGUGAACUGCC
This 7159-nucleotide long non-coding RNA is filed under the name Homo sapiens (human). Its description in RNAcentral is "HSALNT0151281". The record is from RNAcentral. Lineage: Eukaryota; Metazoa; Chordata; Mammalia; Primates; Hominidae.